Molecule: ribosomal RNA, 252 nt
Filed under: uncultured bacterium
Lineage: Bacteria
Description: partial 16S ribosomal RNA
Rfam family: Bacterial small subunit ribosomal RNA
Source: RNAcentral
UACGGAGGGUGCAAGCGUUAUCCGGAUUCACUGGGUUUAAAGGGUGCGUAGGAGGGCAGGUAAGUCAGUGGUGAAAUCUCCAAGCUUAACUUGGAACUGCCGUUGAUACUAUCUGUCUUGAAUAUUGUGGAGGUGAGCGGAAUAUGUCAUGUAGCGGUGAAAUGCUUAGAUAUGACAUAGAACACCAAUUGCGAAGGCAGCUCACUACUCAACCAUUGACUCUGAGGCACGAAAGCGUGGGGAUCAAACAGG